Molecule: RNA transcript, 3960 nt
Organism: Pan troglodytes (chimpanzee)
Lineage: Eukaryota; Metazoa; Chordata; Mammalia; Primates; Hominidae
Gene: MSL3
Gene name: MSL complex subunit 3
Exons: 13
Source: RefSeq, a predicted model, not a curated record
UCCCGGCCCCCCCCGGCCACGGCGCACCGCCUCCCCGCCCCCGCCAGCCCUCCCCCACCGCGCGCGCUCCGCCCGCCCCGGAGCCUCGCCCUCCGCCACGAUGAGCAAAUGAGCGCGAGCGAGGGCAUGAAAUUUAAAUUCCACUCAGGGGAGAAAGUGCUGUGCUUCGAGCCUGACCCCACCAAGGCGCGAGUGCUGUACGAUGCCAAGAUUGUUGAUGUUAUUGUUGGGAAAGACGAAAAAGGCAGAAAGAUCCCAGAAUAUCUGAUCCAUUUUAAUGGUUGGAACAGAAGCUGGGAUAGAUGGGCAGCAGAAGAUCAUGUGCUUCGUGAUACCGAUGAAAAUCGUAGAUUACAGCGUAAAUUGGCAAGAAAAGCUGUAGCUCGCCUGAGGAGCACAGGAAGAAAGAAGAAGCGCUGCAGGUUGCCUGGUGUGGACUCUGUCUUAAAAGGCCUCCCCACUGAAGAAAAAGAUGAAAAUGAUGAAAACUCAUUAAGCAGUUCCUCUGACUGUAGUGAAAACAAGGAUGAAGAAAUAAGUGAAGAAAGUGAUAUUGAAGAAAAGACUGAAGUGAAAGAAGAACCAGAGCUUCAAACAAGAAGGGAAAUGGAAGAAAGAACAAUAACUAUAGAAAUCCCUGAGGUUCUGAAGAAGCAGCUGGAGGAUGAUUGUUACUACAUUAACAGGAGGAAACGGUUAGUGAAACUUCCAUGCCAGACCAACAUCAUAACGAUUUUGGAAUCCUAUGUGAAGCAUUUUGCUAUCAAUGCAGCCUUUUCAGCCAAUGAGAGGCCUCGUCACCAUCACGUUAUGCCACAUGCCAACAUGAACGUGCAUUAUAUCCCAGCAGAAAAGAAUGUUGACCUUUGUAAGGAGAUGGUGGAUGGAUUAAGAAUAACCUUUGAUUACACUCUCCCGUUGGUUUUACUCUAUCCAUAUGAACAAGCUCAGUAUAAAAAGGUGACUUCGUCUAAAUUUUUUCUUCCAAUUAAGGAAAGUGCCACAAGCACUAACAGGAGCCAGGAGGAACUCUCUCCCAGUCCGCCUUUGUUGAAUCCAUCCACGCCACAGUCCACAGAGAGUCAGCCGACCACCGGUGAACCAGCCACCCCCAAAAGGCGCAAAGCUGAGCCAGAAGCAUUGCAGUCUCUGAGGCGGUCCACGCGCCACAGUGCCAACUGUGACAGGCUUUCUGAGAGCAGCGCUUCACCUCAGCCCAAGCGCCGGCAGCAGGACACAUCCGCCAGCAUGCCCAAGCUCUUCCUGCACCUGGAAAAGACCUCUCCUGCUGUGCUGACUCCUUCAGGGGUCCUUCUAAGCAUCAUCCUGUUGGAACUCCCAAAAGUCAUCCCAGUGCCAUUCUGUGUUCAGGUGCCCAUUUCCUUGUGUACAUCCUGUCCCUGCCACAUCCAUAAGCUCCUGAGAGAAAGGUCUGACUUGUUGAUUGUGUCACCCCAUCACAGCUCAGUGUUGGUGGCAUAGUUCCAGGUGCGCGAAAGUAUUUGCUGAUUCUUUGAAGAUUGGGAAGGCUCAGAAGGGCAGAGUUGAAGAAGGCAUACCUUUAAGAGAAGCCCUUUGAAUAAUCAAGUGCUAAAACAAAAUCAGGUGCUUUUUUAAAACAGCUUGAUUGAGAUAUAAUCCACAUACCUUAAAAUUCACACAUUUAAAGUUUUUAGUGUCUCCAGACACAGUGGUUCAUGCCUGUGAGACUGGGGCAGGAGGAUCACUUGAGGCCAGGAGUUCAAGAUCAGCCUGGGCAAUAUAGUGAAACCCCAUCUCUUAAAGAAAAAGUUAGCCAGGUGUGAUGAUGUGCACCUAUAGUCCCAGCUACUUGGGAGGCUGCAGCUGUGGCUGUGGCUGAAGCUGGCGGAUCGCUUGAGGCCCAGAGUCUAAGACUGCAGUGAGCUCUCAUUGGGCCACUGCAGUCGAGCCUGGGCGACACAAAGAGACCACCCUGUCUGAUAGAUAACUAACAAAAUAGUUUUAGUUGGGCAAAAUUAAAGAGUUGGGCAACCAUCACUGAAAUCAGUUUCAGACAUUUUCACCACUCCAAAAAAGAAACCCCACAUCGACUAGCAGUUACUCAUUUGCUUCUCCCUAUGUCCCCUGACAACCACUAAUCUAUUUGUCUCUAUAGAUUUGCCAGUUUGGGGCAUUUCAUAUAAAUGGAAUCAUCUGUAUGUAAGUGGUUAAUAAGGAUUGGUUGAUUGAAGAUUGAAAAGGGUCAGCUGGGAAAAUUUUUAAAAAGACUUUAAAAAGGUGCUACAAAAUAAAGUGCUAUCUUUUUCUGUUUCUCUUUGUACUUUUUAUUUUUUAUUUGUAUUUAUUGAUGUGAAAUUCACAUAUAAAAUUAACCAUUGUAAAGUGAAUAAUUCAGUGGCACUUAACAGCUUCAUUGACACAUCCACAUAUACAGUUCAAUCCAGUAGUUUUUAGUGUAUUCACAGAGUUGUGCGACCAUCUGCACAGUCAAUUCCAGAACAUUUUCAGCACCCCCCAAGAGAAACCCCAUACCCAGUAGCAAUCACUCCCCACUUCCCCUUCUGCAAGCUCCUGGCAACCACUAAGCUGCUUUCGGUCUCUCUGGAUUUGCCUACCCUGGGUAUUUCAUAUAAAUGGAAACAUAGUAUAUGGCCCUUUGUGAUUGGCUCCAUUCACUUAGCAUAGUCUUUUAAGGUUCAUCCACAUUGUAGCAUGUGUCAGUGCUUUAUUCCUUAUUUUUUUAACCAAAUAAAAUUCAGGUGCUAUCUGUUAUAAAAGGAAAGUCUUAUCGUUAAAGGUUGGUAAUUUCUGAGAACCAAGUUUAGAUUUAUGUUCUGCAGUUUUUAACAGUCUUGAGGCAGUCUUUAAUUCAGUUGCUGUGUGAAUAAUUUCAUCUUUUUCUUUGGAAGAGACACCUGUGCAUAGCAGAUCAUCUUCACCUAUUCCUCUGACUCCUAGCAAGGAAGGGAGUGCUGUGUUUGCUGGCUUUGAAGGGAGAAGAACUAAUGAAAUAAACGAGGUCCUCUCCUGGAAGCUUGUGCCUGACAAUUACCCCCCAGGUGACCAGCCGCCUCCACCCUCUUACAUUUAUGGGGCACAACAUUUGCUGCGAUUGUUUGUGAAACUUCCAGAAAUCCUUGGAAAGAUGUCCUUUUCUGAGAAGAAUCUGAAGGCUUUAUUGAAGCACUUUGAUCUCUUUUUGAGGUUUUUAGCAGAAUACCACGAUGACUUCUUCCCAGAGUCGGCUUAUGUCGCUGCCUGUGAGGCACAUUACAGCACCAAGAACCCCCGGGCAAUUUAUUAAAAUGUUGUUGGUUCUGUAAGAGCAACUGCUCUGUCUAGUUUGGCGCUCUGGGUUCCAGGUGAAUAACUAACAAGGUGGUGGGUCUUUACCCACAGCGCAAACACAAUGCCCACCUUGGGGCUCUGUUGUUUGAGUUGCCCACAUACUGCAGUUAUUCUGUUAGGAAUGAUUUCCUGGGUGCCUGAAAGUGCUCUGACACGACACUUGUUACUUUGCAGGCCAUCUGUGAUGGCAAGGAAAAAGCAACUAUGUUCACAGUGAAAUAUUCGUGGAAUAGGUUAGGCCAUUUCAGUAGACAUUGCAGUUAGUUAGCAAGAACCACAUUGUCUCUUUAUUUGUUAGCAUUAAACAAAUUUUUUUUUGCAAAUUGGUUUUAUUUUUUUGAUGAAGCCGAGCAACUCUGUCCAAAAAGGUUUAGUUUGUACUCGGAAACCACAAAGUAGUCUCAAAGUAUUUUAGAGGGAAUCGAUAUUGAUGGCAAAAGAAAAUUUGCAGCUAUGCAUUUGCUUCUAACGGUUCCCUCUCUGUGAAACAUUAUUUUUGGUGAUCUAAAGAAAGCAUUGCCUUUCUUAUUUGAGAUUUUACAGCUAUACUUUGUUGUGUAAUGUUAUGGUUCCCUUUCUGUAAAAUGUUAUUUUUGGUGAUCUAAAUAAAGCCUGUCUUGUUUGAAAGAA